GGUAGUGGGCUAUCAAAACUUAUUAACAUUAGUGUCACUAAAGUUGGUAUUCCACCCCCCACUGCUAAAU
Molecule: small RNA, 70 nt
Filed under: Microcebus murinus (gray mouse lemur)
Lineage: Eukaryota; Metazoa; Chordata; Mammalia; Primates; Cheirogaleidae
Description: Y RNA (ENSMICG00000047042.1)
Source: RNAcentral